Molecule: ribosomal RNA, 339 nt
Filed under: uncultured bacterium
Lineage: Bacteria
Description: bacterial SSU rRNA
Rfam family: Bacterial small subunit ribosomal RNA
Source: RNAcentral
AACGAACGCUGGCGGCGUGGAUAAGACAUGCAAGUCGAACGGGACUAAAUCUGUAGCAAUACAGGUUUAGUUUAGUGGCGAACGGGUGCGUAACACGUGGGGAAUCUGCCGAGAAGUGGGGGAUAGCUCGUCGAAAGGCGAAUUAAUACCGCAUAUGAUCAGGGAAGACAUCUUUCCAACAUCAAAGCCGGGGCAACCUGGCGCUUCUUGAUGACCCCGCGGCCUAUCAGCUAGUUGGUGAGGUAACGGCCCACCAAGGCUAUGACGGGUAGCUGGUCUGAGAGGACGACCAGUCACACUGGAACUGAGACACGGUCCAGACACCUACGGGUGGCAGCA